This 488-nucleotide ribosomal RNA is filed under the name Chaetocoelopa littoralis. Its description in RNAcentral is "partial 16S ribosomal RNA". It matches the Rfam family "Bacterial large subunit ribosomal RNA", at positions 1906 to 2606 of the family's 2925-position model. The record is from RNAcentral. Lineage: Eukaryota; Metazoa; Arthropoda; Insecta; Diptera; Coelopidae.
UGCCCACUGAAGUAUUAAAUGGCCGCAGUAUCCUAACUGUGCAAAGGUAGCAUAAUCAUUAGUCUUUUAAUUGAAGGCUGGUAUGAAUGGUUGGACGAGAUACUAACUGUUUCAAUUAUAUUUACAGUAGAAUUUUAUUUUUUAGUCAAAAAGCUAAAAUUAAUUUAAAAGACGAGAAGACCCUAUAAAUCUUUAUACUUAAAAUAUAUUAAUUAUUUAGAUUAAUUAGAUUAUUAUAUUGAAUAGUAUUUUAUUGGGGUGAUAUUAAAAUUUAAUAAACUUUUAAUUUUUGAAAACAUUAAUUUAUGAAUAAUUGAUCCGUUUAUAACGAUUAAAAAAUUAAGUUACUUUAGGGAUAACAGCGUAAUUUUUCUGGAGAGUUCAUAUCGAUAGAAAAGAUUGCGACCUCGAUGUUGGAUUAAGAUUCAAAUUUGGGCGCAGCCGUUCAAAUUUUAAGUCUGUUCGACUUUUUAAAUCUUACAUGAUCU